RNAcentral lists this ribosomal RNA (254 nucleotides) under uncultured bacterium. RNAcentral describes it as "partial 16S ribosomal RNA". It matches the Rfam family "Bacterial small subunit ribosomal RNA", at positions 524 to 776 of the family's 1533-position model. The record is from RNAcentral.
UACGUAGGGUGCGAGCGUUGUCCGGAAUUAUUGGGCGUAAAGAGCUCGUAGGCGGUGUGUCACGUCGGCCGUGAAAACCUGCAGCUUAACUGUGGGCGUGCGGUCGAUACGGGCAUCACUGGAGUUCGGCAGGGGAGACUGGAAUUCCUGGUGUAGCGGUGAAAUGCGCAGAUAUCAGGAGGAACACCGGUGGCGAAGGCGGGUCUCUGGGUCGGUACUGACGCUGAGACGCGAAAGCGUGGGGAGCGAACAGG